This is a long non-coding RNA of Parasteatoda tepidariorum (common house spider), 1253 nucleotides long. RefSeq lists it as uncharacterized. The record is from RefSeq and is a predicted model, not a curated record. NCBI's taxonomy places the organism in Eukaryota, Metazoa, Arthropoda, Arachnida, Araneae, Theridiidae.
AACCAAAGGCUUAUUAACAGGAAUAAAGUACAAAGUAAACAAGGAGAAAAAAAUUUCCAUAAACUUUAAAAAAAUGAAUUGUUGAAUAACCGAAGAAUGUUGUUAUUAGAAUGUUAUAGGUUAAUCUUACGUUUGUUUUCACUCGGAUUAAAAGUGAUCCGCAAAUUUAGCAUUGUAUAAAUAUGGUAGAUACCAUUAUAAAGUUCAUCAUCAUCAUAGUUGGCCAGCCAGCUCAAUCCUCCAUUAUGAAGUUUGUGCAAUGAAAAGACAUCCCAGAAUUUAUACCUGAAGAAACCCGUGUGCCUCUUACUCUUCAAAGUGAUCCCAAAAUUUACAAUUGUAAAUAUUGUUUCUACCUUACUCGUGGUGUGAGUAAUAUGGUUCGACAUUUAAAAAUUCAUAUUGGAGAAAAACCAUAUGUCUGCAAUAUAUGUCAAAAAAGUUAUAAACAGAGAUCAUAUCUUAAAGUGCAUAUGCAAGUUCAUUCUGGUGAACUCAGCUUCUUUUGUUCCAUUUGCAGUCGUGGAUUUUCAUCAAAACAAUCAUUAACUAACCAUACUACUGUGAAGCAUGAACGUUAAAAUACAUUUAAUCAAUCUCAUUUUCUUUAGUAUAUUUUUUAUAGUUAGAUGUAUGCAGUAAUAGUAUUUAUUUUAUAGCUUGUCAUACAAUGUGGUUUGAAUUUGUUUUAAAGCCCAAACUCUGUCAUUGCUUGUCUGUAUUUGUGUGUUCAACAUUUUUUAAAUACUUAAUUCAAUACUUUUUCAAAACUUAAUUUAACAUAAUUCAAAAUACAAGUGGAGAAAUAAUAUUAAAUAACAUAUAGUUUUAUAGAUGCAUAUAUAUAUUUUCAUGUCCAAAGCAUUAUGUUGUUUAAAAAUCAUCUGAGAUUGUUGUUUCUUUGAUUAUUAUCUGAUCACUUGCUUUGAAAGUUAUUAUUUAUUAUAUAUUUUAAACUGCCACUUCAAUUAAAUUACAUAAAAUUGUAAUUUCACCUUUUUAGAACUAACUUACUAGUUUACUACGCAAUCAAAAGAGUUUCAGUAUUUUUUUGUUUUUAUUUAUUUUUGCCUUUUUUUAGAACUUCCCAUUAGUAUAACUUAAAUACCUUAUUUGGUCAUGAAGUAUCAAAUGAGUUUGUUUCGUUUUUAUUAUUAUUUAUUUUGUUUAUUUAUUUUUUGCACAUCUAACGAUAACCUUUCAGGGGAUACUUCAAAAAAAAAAAAAAAAAUAUUCAUUUCAGGAACUUUUAU